Molecule: transfer RNA, 84 nt
Filed under: Lentilactobacillus senioris
Lineage: Bacteria; Bacillati; Bacillota; Bacilli; Lactobacillales; Lactobacillaceae
Also listed under: 1 other name
Description: tRNA-Leu
Rfam family: tRNA
About the family: Transfer RNA (tRNA) molecules are approximately 80 nucleotides in length.
Source: RNAcentral
GCCGGAGUGGCGGAAUUGGCAGACGCGCUGGACUCAAAAUCCAGUGUCCUCGCGGACGUGUGGGUUCGAACCCCACCUCCGGUA